RNAcentral lists this ribosomal RNA (494 nucleotides) under uncultured bacterium. RNAcentral's name for it is "partial 16S ribosomal RNA". It matches the Rfam family "Bacterial small subunit ribosomal RNA", at positions 28 to 507 of the family's 1533-position model. The record is from RNAcentral.
GACGAACGCUGGCGGCGUGCUUAACACAUGCAAGUCGAACGGUGAAGCGCCUUCCUUUUUGGUGGGUGUGGAUGAGUGGCGAACGGGUGAGUAACACGUGAGUAACCUGCCCCCUUCUUCUGGAUAACCGCAUGAAAGUGUGGCUAAUACGGGAUAUUCUGGGUCUGUCGCAUGAUGGGUCUGGGAAAGAUAUUGUUUCGGUGGGGGAUGGGCUCGCGGCCUAUCAGCUUGUUGGUGGGGUGAUGGCCUACCAAGGCGGUGACGGGUAGCCGGCCUGAGAGGGUGGACGGUCACACUGGGACUGAGACACGGCCCAGACUCCUACGGGAGGCAGCAGUGAGGAAUAUUGCACAAUGGGCGCAAGCCUGAUGCAGCGACGCCGCGGGAGGGAUGGAGGCCUUCGGGUUGUGAACCUCUUUCGCCAGUGAAGCAGGCCUGCCUCGUUUGUGGGUGGGUUGACGGUAGCUGGAUAAGAAGCGCCGGCUAACUACGUG